Long non-coding RNA from Canis lupus familiaris (dog), 575 nucleotides. RefSeq lists it as uncharacterized. The record is from RefSeq and is a predicted model, not a curated record. NCBI's taxonomy places the organism in Eukaryota, Metazoa, Chordata, Mammalia, Carnivora, Canidae. The transcript has 2 exons.
CCUCUAUUUCUGACUCUGACCUCUAUACUUUCUAUUAAAGGGCUCCUGUGAUUAGAUCAGACCUACCCAGGGUAGCCCUCUUAAUUAACUUUAAGGUAGCUGAUUAAUUACACCUGCAAGUCCCUUCACUUUUUCCAUCUAAGGCAGUAUAGUCAAAAGAAUGAUAUUCUAUAUUUUUUGCCAUAUUCUAAUGGUUAGAACAAGUGAUAGGUUUCACCUACGCUAAACAUAAGGGAACUAAACAAAGCAAGGGCCACUGAAAGUCAUUUUAGAAUUCCGUGUACCACAGUAUUCUAAGAGUGUUAUAAUAAUCUCUAUUCUCCAAAAAGCAGAGACAGGCCCAUAAGUACAGAGCAUGGGCAAAAUGGCUGAAGGGGAGUGGGAGAUACAGGCUUCCAGUUACGGAGUAAAUAAGUCAUGGGGAUAAAAGGUCGUGACGUCAAUGUCGUGAGAUGGAGGCCUGCGUCAGGCUCAGCACUCAGCUUGGAGUCUGCUGGAGAUCCUCCCUCUCCCUCCCUAUGCCCAUGCUCUCUAUUUCUAAAAAUAAAGACAUAAAUAAAAUCUUUAUAAUCCAA